This 439-nucleotide ribosomal RNA is filed under the name Staphylococcus aureus. RNAcentral's name for it is "partial 23S ribosomal RNA". It matches the Rfam family "Bacterial large subunit ribosomal RNA", at positions 688 to 1125 of the family's 2925-position model. Lineage: Bacteria; Bacillati; Bacillota; Bacilli; Caryophanales; Staphylococcaceae. The record is from RNAcentral.
UAGGGCGUUUAGUAUUUGGUCGUAGACCCGAAACCAGGUGAUCUACCCUUGGUCAGGUUGAAGUUCAGGUAACACUGAAUGGAGGACCGAACCGACUUACGUUGAAAAGUGAGCGGAUGAACUGAGGGUAGCGGAGAAAUUCCAAUCGAACCUGGAGAUAGCUGGUUCUCUCCGAAAUAGCUUUAGGGCUAGCCUCAAGUGAUGAUUAUUGGAGGUAGAGCACUGUUUGGACGAGGGGCCCCUCUCGGGUUACCGAAUUCAGACAAACUCCGAAUGCCAAUUAAUUUAACUUGGGAGUCAGAACAUGGGUGAUAAGGUCCGUGUUCGAAAGGGAAACAGCCCAGACCACCAGCUAAGGUCCCAAAAUAUAUGUUAAGUGGAAAAGGAUGUGGCGUUGCCCAGACAACUAGGAUGUUGGCUUAGAAGCAGCCAUCAUUUA